This 1305-nucleotide long non-coding RNA is filed under the name Gouania willdenowi (blunt-snouted clingfish). Its description in RNAcentral is "lncRNA (ENSGWIG00000006678.1)". Lineage: Eukaryota; Metazoa; Chordata; Actinopteri; Blenniiformes; Gobiesocidae. The record is from RNAcentral.
UAUGAAUUGGGAAAUAAUACCUUAAAAAGACUUGAAAAAGUCUGGAAUUUUGAUAUCUGGGUCUUGAAAUUUGUGCAGUAACUUCAGGUAUCACAUUUACCUCUCUAAAGUUUCCAUUUGUCAACCACUAUUAUUUUGAUUAAAUAACGUAAUAGCCUAAAUAAACAGUGGCGGAACCAAUAAUUGAGAACGCAACGCCGCCCGGAUCCGAACACUUCACUUUGCGACAGACUGACCUAAACUUCUCUCUCAACGUCCUCUCGUCAACGUCGACUGGGAUGCACAUCGCAUGUAGACCCACUUCAUGCUGAGGUUAUGGGGAAAUGUAAAUUUAAUGAAGCGUGGCAAGAUAAACAAGCAUUUUGUCACUGGUUAAAACCGGUGGACAACAACGUAUUUGAGGCUUUUUGUACAGUAUGCAAAAAAAAGAUUCAGCUUGGUAACAUGGGUGUGAAGGCUUUGGAGUCUCAUGCCAAGUCAUGUAAGCACAUCAACUCUAUCAAAGCUAAGGAGAAAACACUUUCCAUCGACGGAGUGUUUCAACCUGCUAACCUUAGCCAGCUAACUGUUAAUGCGCUUGAAGCAGAAGAUAACGUUAACCAACCAGCUGCUUGCGCUAGCACAGCCCCUCCAGUUACGACCGCAACUAACGGUAGAGUGGAUCUGCGCACAACUUUUGGAUUCACACCUACAAUGAAAGCAGAGGUGUUGUGGACUCUUAACACCAUCGCCAAACAUCAGUCCUACAAUGGAAAUGAGGGUAUUUCAGAGCUUUUCAAAAGCAUGUUCCCUGAUUCCGACAUCGCUACCACGUUUACUUGUGGGUCCGACAAAACGGCAUACAUAGCCAAGUUUGGUUUAGCGGUUCACAUCAAAGAGGAAUUGGUGUCCGAAGUAAACAAAUCGCCGUUCGUUCUUAUGUUUGACGAGAGCCUCAACGAGACAACAAAAAACAAACAGCUGGAUGUGCAUGUUCGCUUCUGGGACGAGGGACAGGUUCAGUCCAGAUACCUGGGCUCCCAGUUUAUGGGACAUUCCACUGCACAAGACCUGCUGUCACAUCUCAAAGAAUGUAUGGACAAACUGGACCUCAGACACUUGGUGUCCAUUUCAAUGGAUGGGCCCAGUGUGAACUGGAAACUCUUCGACAUUUUCCAGAAAGAUCAAUCUGAGCAGUACGGAGGUGAGGAGUUUAUAAUGCCAUUACUGUGUGUGUGAGUAUGUAUAUGACCCAUUUGUAAUUAUAAAAAUUAAUUUUAUUUGUUGUGCACUUUUACAUUGAAUAAACUAUUUAAACGUGCUACA